Molecule: long non-coding RNA, 487 nt
Filed under: Sus scrofa (pig)
Lineage: Eukaryota; Metazoa; Chordata; Mammalia; Artiodactyla; Suidae
Description: lncRNA (ENSSSCG00015027809.1, ENSSSCG00030057706.1)
Source: RNAcentral
GCAAUAAAACAAAACACUAACUGUGGAACUCCAUAGGUCUGGACAUGAAUCCUAGCUCUAUUGCUUACCAGCUGUAGAAUGUGGGUAAAUUACUUUCACCACUCUGAGCAUCAAUUCCUUCUCCUGUAAAAUGGGAUAAUACCCACUUUAUAGAUUAUCAUGAAGAGUAAAUGACACAUAUGAAGAGUCUGAUACAUAAUGGAUGCUCAUUAAAUCAAGAAGAAAAAGAAAGAGAGAGAGAGAAAAGGGUUGUGUUUCAGGAAGAGUUGAUAUCCCUGGACUCCAGCUAGAUAAGGAAGAUGCCAGAGAGAGAGGGGGUAAGGUGUCUGAAGGUGAGCUGCGAAGCAAACCAAGGACAGUGCCAUGCGGGACCCCGACAGAGCCAUGCUGAUUCUAAAGACUGAUUCUGGGACUAGAGAAGAAACUGCCCGAUUCUGCCUUUCCUCCCUCCCCAUCCCCCCCUUGUCAGAGUUGAAUAAAUAAAGAA